AGAGUUUGAUCAUGGCUCAGAUUGAACGCUGGCGGCAUGCUUUACACAUGCAAGUCGAGCGGCAGCGCGGGGGCAACCCUGGCGGCGAGCGGCGAACGGGUGAGUAAUGCAUCGGAACGUGUCCCGUAGUGGGGGAUAACCCGGCGAAAGCCGGACUAAUACCGCAUAUGCUCUACGGAGGAAAGCGGGGGAUUCGCAAGAACCUCGCGCUAUGGGAGCGGCCGAUGUCCGAUUAGCUUGUUGGUGGGGUAAUGGCUUACCAAGGCGACGAUCGGUAGCUGGUCUGAGAGGAUGAUCAGCCACACUGGGACUGAGACACGGCCCAGACUCCUACGGGAGGCAGCAGUGGGGAAUUUUGGACAAUGGGGGCAACCCUGAUCCAGCCAUGCCGCGUGCGGGAAGAAGGCCUUCGGGUUGUAAACCGCUUUUGUCCGGAAAGAAAAGGCACCUCCUAAUACGGGGUGCUCUUGACGGUACCGGAAGAAUAAGCACCGGCUAACUGCGUGCCAGCCGCCGCGGUAAUUC
Molecule: ribosomal RNA, 525 nt
Filed under: uncultured bacterium
Lineage: Bacteria
Description: bacterial SSU rRNA
Rfam family: Bacterial small subunit ribosomal RNA
Source: RNAcentral